Astatotilapia calliptera (eastern happy) is the source of this 1133-nucleotide long non-coding RNA. NCBI's taxonomy places the organism in Eukaryota, Metazoa, Chordata, Actinopteri, Cichliformes, Cichlidae. The record is from Ensembl.
GUGAAUGCGACCAUGUAUUGAUUUAUUUAUUUCAUUUUAAAAAGUUCAGGUGUAAUUUCUCCAUGUCUUCAUGUCUUCACGAGCUGUGAAGGAAUGAAGGAUGGCUGCUAAUUAGAACGUGUAAUGUGCAGCGUGCGUGUGAUGCAUGACACUUUUUGCACACUGGUUUUUUCAAAGAUAAUCAGAUCCGUGCUGAAGUGGAGGGCACGCUUACAAGACGCAGGACGCCUCCUGCGAAUCACAGAGCACGGCAGAAAUAAAGUUAGAUAGGUAGAGAGAGAGAGAGAACGAUACGACAAGGAGGUGGACACACCUGUCUGCUGGAAUAGCGUGACCUCAGCUACUAAUGAAUAGAGAGCUCAAACACAGCCAAUUAGUUGUGGAGCUUGUUAAAACAGCCACUUUUACACUUGCUGUGUCAGGAUAGAUUGGCCUUUCAUGGCUGCUUUGGGGAUAUUGAUAUGGCUGCUGACAAGUGCAAUAAAAAGGGAAAAUGCUUUGGGGCUAACCAGUCCCACUUCUUUUCUGUGGUACUUUUGUUUCAUGCGACAAACGAACUAGGCUCCGCUGGUUAAACCGUAAGUAAUCUAAUGCUUCGGUGCUUCUUUUUUAGUUUUGUUUUUUUUUGCUGUUGUCCUGUUUUGUUUUGCUUGUUGUCUUUGACCAGCUUUUUUGAGAGAGGGUGAGAACAAAGAGGUGAAGGAGGGAGUGGCGAUCAUGCUUGAGAAAGAGAAAUAAACCAGCGAAUGAGAGAUCAGCAGGAUUACAGGGUGUCGCUGUGAGGCACUGCAGAGCUGCAAAUCCACAGGAAUAGAUGGGAAGAUGGGAAGCAGCAGGUUGAGCUGAUGAAGGAUAGGCUGAUAAGGAAACAGGAAGAGAAGAGAAGAGAGGUAGAAUUAUGCAGACUAACAUGCAGAAACAGAGUAAGGUGGAGAGGACUUGGCACAGUAAAGGGCGGAUGGAGGCAGCGCCGUGGUGAGAUGCCUCAUGGGAGAAUGACACAUAUCUUAUCCCCCAGAGAGUGAAGGAGAGGGGCCAGACAACCCUGCUGAUUGACUGGCAGCGUCUCCGCCUGUCUUUCACCAUCUUCUCAUAUUCAUCAACACUGGCUUGGCUCCCUGCAAUGGAGCCAA